Molecule: ribosomal RNA, 387 nt
Filed under: uncultured bacterium
Lineage: Bacteria
Description: bacterial SSU rRNA
Rfam family: Bacterial small subunit ribosomal RNA
Source: RNAcentral
GACGAACGCUGGCGGCGUGCUUAACACAUGCAAGUCGAGCGGUAAGGCCCUUUCGGGGGUACACGAGCGGCGAACGGGUGAGUAACACGUGGGUGACCUGCCUCUAGCUCUGGGAUAAGCCUGGGAAGCUGGGUCUAAUACCGGAUAUGACCUCGCGGUGCAUGUUGCGGGGUGGAAAGCCUUGUGCGGCUAGGGAUGGGCCCGCGGCCUAUCAGCUUGUUGGUGGGGUGANGGCCUACCAAGGCGACGACGGGUAGCCGGCCUGAGAGGGCGACCGGCCACACUGGGACUGAGACACGGCCCAGACUCCUACGGGAGGCAGCAGUGGGGAAUCUUGCGCAAUGGGCGAAAGCCUGACGCAGCGACGCCGCGUGAGGGAUGACGGCC